RNAcentral lists this ribosomal RNA (507 nucleotides) under Pseudomonas endophytica. RNAcentral describes it as "bacterial SSU rRNA". It matches the Rfam family "Bacterial small subunit ribosomal RNA", at positions 89 to 591 of the family's 1533-position model. The record is from RNAcentral. Lineage: Bacteria; Pseudomonadati; Pseudomonadota; Gammaproteobacteria; Pseudomonadales; Pseudomonadaceae.
UUGAGAGCGGCGGACGGGUGAGUUAAUACCUAGGAAUCUGCCUGGUAGUGGGGGAUAACGUUCGGAAACGGACGCUAAUACCGCAUACGUCCUACGGGAGAAAGCAGGGGACCUUCGGGCCUUGCGCUAUCAGAUGAGCCUAGGUCGGAUUAGCUAGUUGGUGAGGUAAUGGCUCACCAAGGCUACGAUCCGUAACUGGUCUGAGAGGAUGAUCAGUCACACUGGAACUGAGACACGGUCCAGACUCCUACGGGAGGCAGCAGUGGGGAAUAUUGGACAAUGGGCGAAAGCCUGAUCCAGCCAUGCCGCGUGUGUGAAGAAGGUCUUCGGAUUGUAAAGCACUUUAAGUUGGGAGGAAGGGUAUUAACCUAAUACGUUAGUACUUUGACGUUACCGACAGAAUAAGCACCGGCUAACUCUGUGCCAGCAGCCGCGGUAAUACAGAGGGUGCAAGCGUUAAUCGGAAUUACUGGGCGUAAAGCGCGCGUAGGUGGUUUGGUAAGUUGA